GGAGGAGCUGCCCUGUUUUGGCAGGAGCAGAUGAAACUGGAUUUAUGGAUAAAAACGGCCAAAUGACAUCUGAAAAUUUUGUUUCCCUUUGAAAUUCUUGAUGCAUUUCAGCAUCUCCAGGAGGGCAUCUCCUCUCUUGUGUUGCCAGAAGAGCCAACUGAGCCUAAUCCCAUUUUCCCUAGGACCUGGCAGCCAUUCAGGACUGCUUCUAUUGUAUUUACGUGGAAUUUGGUCACCUGUGGCUUCAGGCAGCCCAAAUCUCUCAGGAUGUGCAGGACAGGAGUGACCCUUACCACGCUGCCAUUGUUCCUGCCUGCCUCAUCUGUCCCUAUGGAUCUGGAGCUGACUGUGGCAUGUUUAGAAGUGGAACUCAAAAGCCAAGGGUGGCUGUGGUGGUUCUGGCAGUGGCCCAGAUCACCUUUAUGGACUGAGAGGUGAAAUCACCAAAGCUGUGCUUGGAUGGUGCAUCCCUGUCUCCUCUCCAUGGUUUGGUCAUGGCUUUUAGCAGCUCUGGACUGAAUUUGGC
RNAcentral lists this long non-coding RNA (526 nucleotides) under Cyanistes caeruleus (blue tit). RNAcentral's name for it is "lncRNA (ENSCCEG00000002156.1)". Lineage: Eukaryota; Metazoa; Chordata; Aves; Passeriformes; Paridae. The record is from RNAcentral.